UGCAGGAUCAACCAGGUAGCAUUCCUUCGGGACAUCGGGUCGCAAGACGUAAAACAUCCGUGCGACACCGAACGUCAUUCGAGUGGGGCGUGUAAUGCCAAAUUUUGGGCAAAUAGAGGUCAAAGACCCCGUACCCGUAGCGUUUUCUGCGUCCCAAGGGUCUGUGAAUAUCAUGGGCCGAGAUUACAAGGCAAUGCGCAUGCAAUUCGAAACACAAGAUUCACUUUGAUGUUCACCCGAAGCCGCACCGUGAAAACGGGUAGCAGUGGGCGAACGUGCGAGGGUCGGCCAACGAAUUCCUUCGAUGUAGGUAUGCAACACAGGAAACCAGCACUCGGUCAAGGCUAAAGUAGCUCUUGUGCCAACGAUUGAAGAGGAAUGCACGGGAGAACG
This 393-nucleotide unclassified non-coding RNA is filed under the name Eumachia abrupta. RNAcentral describes it as "Margaritopsis abrupta partial external transcribed spacer". The record is from RNAcentral. Lineage: Eukaryota; Viridiplantae; Streptophyta; Magnoliopsida; Gentianales; Rubiaceae.